CAGCGACAUAAACAAUCCUUCGGGUGCGCUUAUGGGCGGCGAGCGGCGGACGGGUGAGUAAUGCCUGGGAAUAUGCCCUGAUGUGGGGGAUAACCAUUGGAAACGAUGGCUAAUACCGCAUAAUCUCUUCGGAGCAAAGAGGGGGACCUUCGGGCCUCUCGCGUCAGGAUUAGCCCAGGUGAGAUUAGCUAGUUGGUGAGGUAAGAGCUCACCAAGGCGACGAUCUCUAGCUGGUCUGAGAGGAUGAUCAGCCACACUGGAACUGAGACACGGUCCAGACUCCUACGGGAGGCAGCAGUGGGGAAUAUUGCACAAUGGGGGAAACCCUGAUGCAGCCAUGCCGCGUGUGUGAAGAAGGCCUUCGGGUUGUAAAGCACUUUCAGUUGUGAGGAAGGCAUAUGCGUUAAUAGCGUAUGUGUUUGACGUUAGCAACAGAAGAAGCACC
This 445-nucleotide ribosomal RNA is filed under the name Photobacterium rosenbergii. RNAcentral describes it as "bacterial SSU rRNA". It matches the Rfam family "Bacterial small subunit ribosomal RNA", at positions 64 to 494 of the family's 1533-position model. Lineage: Bacteria; Pseudomonadati; Pseudomonadota; Gammaproteobacteria; Vibrionales; Vibrionaceae. The record is from RNAcentral.